Molecule: ribosomal RNA, 408 nt
Filed under: uncultured bacterium
Lineage: Bacteria
Description: partial 16S ribosomal RNA
Rfam family: Bacterial small subunit ribosomal RNA
Source: RNAcentral
GACGAACGCUGGCGGCGUGCUUAACACAUGCAAGUCGAACGGAGUGGCGAACGGGUGAGUAUUACGUGAGUAACCUGCUCUCAACUGUGGGAUAAGCCUGGGAAACUGGGUCUAAUACUGCAUAGUUGGUGAUGGGCUCGCGGCGUAUCAGCUUGUUGGUGGGGUGAUGGCCAACCAAGGCGAUGCCGGGGAGCCGGCCGGGGAGGGUGAGCGGCCACACUGGAACUGAGACACGGUCCAGACUCCUACGGGAGGCAGCAGUGGGGAAUAUUGCACAAUGGGCGCAAGCCUGAUACAGCCAUGCCGCGUGUAUGAAGAAGGCCUUCGGGUUGUAAAGUACUUUCAGCGAGGAGGCGGUACUCGCAGAAGAAGCACCGGCUAACUCCGUGCCAGCAGCCGCGGUAAUUC